AGGUUUUAAAGUUGAGUCAGUGCAGAGUGAAGUUUGUUUUUGACUUGUCUAUGUGUGUUUUUCAUAUGCUUAAGUGUUUAUACUUGUUUAUGUGCUUGAUUGCUAUGAGUUUGAGCCAAGUUGAGAGUUAAGUCGAUAAUAGGACGUGUGAAUCCUUAGAAGCCGAGUAUACCUAGGGAUUGAGUUUUAAUGGGUAAAUAGACGUUGAGUGAAAAGUUAUAGUUGAGAUGAGAUUGGAAUUAGUAAUGAGUUACUAAUCGAGAUUCAUUUUAUGACAUGAACCUUCGAUGAUGAUGAUAAUCCCUGAAGACACGAGCAGAGCAAGGAAGUAAGUAACUCCGCUUUGACGGGAGAUUUUGAGUAAGGUCUUCAGACUAAGCGAGGAGCGAGAUUGGACUGGUGCUGGUGGGGAAUUGUUAGAGGAUGUAUUUACUUUAUCGCAUUUCCAUUUUGACGAUAAAGUCUUGAUGAUUGAUAUAUAUAUACUUUGAUUUUCUUUUGAAUUUAAGCAAUGUACUCACGGUUAUAUGUCUUCAUACAUAUAAUCGAUUCGCCUUUUGCUGC
Molecule: long non-coding RNA, 564 nt
Organism: Salvia miltiorrhiza (redroot sage)
Lineage: Eukaryota; Viridiplantae; Streptophyta; Magnoliopsida; Lamiales; Lamiaceae
Exons: 2
Source: RefSeq, a predicted model, not a curated record